This 500-nucleotide ribosomal RNA is filed under the name uncultured Allobaculum sp. RNAcentral describes it as "partial 16S ribosomal RNA". The record is from RNAcentral. Lineage: Bacteria; Bacillati; Bacillota; Erysipelotrichia; Erysipelotrichales; Erysipelotrichaceae.
CACGUAGUUAGCCGUGACUUCCUCGCCGGGUACCAUCACUCAGAAAGCUUUCCACUCUUUCUGCCUUUUGUCCCCGGCAACAGAGCUUUACGAUCCGAAGACCUUCCUCGCUCACGCGGCAUUGCUCGUUCAGGGUUCCCCCCAUUGACGAAAAUUCCCUACUGCUGCCUCCCGCAGGAGUCUGGGCCGUGUCUCGGUCCCAGUGUGGCCGUCCGCCCUCUCAGGCCGGCUAUGCAUCGUCGCCUUGGUGAGCCGUUACCUCUCCAACCAGCUAAUGCACCGCAGGUCCAUCUGCAUGCGGGACUCUUGUCCCUUUUCCAAAAGAGAUGCCUCCUCUUGCUCAUCCGGUAUCAGCUUCCGUUCCAGAUUCUCCCGCUCAUGCAGGCAGGUUCCCUACGUGUUACUCACCCGUUCGCCCACUCCAUACUCCCGAAGUACUAGUCCGUUCGACUUGCAUGUAUUAGGCAUGCCGCCAGCCGUUUCACUCCUGAGCCCAGGUA